UGGUGGGUUUCACUUCCGGGAAAUGGCUGA
This 30-nucleotide non-coding RNA is filed under the name Rattus norvegicus (Norway rat). Lineage: Eukaryota; Metazoa; Chordata; Mammalia; Rodentia; Muridae. The record is from RNAcentral.